This 132-nucleotide ribosomal RNA is filed under the name Triticum aestivum (bread wheat). Its description in RNAcentral is "partial small subunit ribosomal RNA". Lineage: Eukaryota; Viridiplantae; Streptophyta; Magnoliopsida; Poales; Poaceae. The record is from RNAcentral.
AUGGUCUGCUAUGUCACCGUUUCACUGAUUCGUGGAACUAAUCAUGCCUUUACGCCUAUCAUCGUAGAAGCAGUGACUUUGAAAGAUUAUGCGGAUUGGGUAUCCAAUCAAUUAAUCCUCCAAACCAACUAA